RNAcentral lists this transfer RNA (85 nucleotides) under Candidatus Wildermuthbacteria bacterium. RNAcentral describes it as "tRNA-Leu". It matches the Rfam family "tRNA". From Rfam's summary of the family: Transfer RNA (tRNA) molecules are approximately 80 nucleotides in length. Their secondary structure includes four short double-helical elements and three loops (D, anti-codon, and T loops). Lineage: Bacteria; Candidatus Wildermuthiibacteriota. The record is from RNAcentral.
GCCCAGGUGGCGGAAUUGGCUAUACGCGCUACUUCGAGGGGGUAGUGGCCGCAAGGCCGUGCGGGUUCGACUCCCGCCCUGGGCA